GACGAACGCUGGCGGCGUGCUUAACACAUGCAAGUCGUACGGUAAGGCCCUUUCGGGGGUCCACGAGUGGCGAACGGGUGAGUAACACGUGAGUAACCUGCCCACAACUUUGGGAUAACGCUAGGAAACUGGUGCUAAUACUGGAUAUGUGCUCCUGCUGCAUGGUGGGGGUUGGAAAGCUCCGGCGGUUGUGGAUGGACUCGCGGCCUAUCAGCUUGUUGGUGGGGUAGUGGCCUACCAAGGCGGCGACGGGUAGCCGGCCUGAGAGGGUGACCGGCCACAUUGGGACUGAGAUACGGCCCGGACUCCUACGGGAGGCAGCAGUGGGGAAUAUUGAACAAUGGGCGCAAGCCUGAUGCAGCAACGCCGCGUGCGGGAUGACGGCCUUCGGGUUGUAAACCGCGUUCAGCAGGGACGAAGCUUUUUGUGACGGUACCUGCAGAAGAAGCACCGGCUAACUACGUG
This 465-nucleotide ribosomal RNA is filed under the name uncultured bacterium. RNAcentral's name for it is "partial 16S ribosomal RNA". It matches the Rfam family "Bacterial small subunit ribosomal RNA", at positions 28 to 507 of the family's 1533-position model. The record is from RNAcentral.